ACGGGAGGCAGCAGUAAGGAAUAUUGGGCAAUGGAGGAAACUCUGACCCAGCAACGCCGCGUGAAGGAAGAAGGUCUUCGGAUUGUAAACUUCUGUUAUUGGGGACGAAGAUAGUGACGGUACCCAAUGAGAAAGCCCCGGCUAACUAUGUGCCAGCAGCCGCGGUAAUACAUAGGGGGCAAGCGUUGUCCGGAAUGACUGGGCGUAAAGGGUGUGUAGGCGGCUUGGUAAGUUAAAUGUGAAAGCCUGUGGCUCAACCACAGAAUUGCAUUUAAUACUGUCAAGCUAGAGUGCAGGAGAGGUAAGUGGAAUUCCUAGUGUAGCGGUGGAAUGCGUAGAUAUUAGGAGGAACACCAGAGGCGAAGGCGGCUUACUGGACUGUUACUGACGCUGAGGCACGAAAGCAUGGGGAGCAAACAGGAUUAGAUACCCUGGUA
Molecule: ribosomal RNA, 437 nt
Rfam family: Bacterial small subunit ribosomal RNA